This 253-nucleotide ribosomal RNA is filed under the name uncultured bacterium. RNAcentral describes it as "partial 16S ribosomal RNA". It matches the Rfam family "Bacterial small subunit ribosomal RNA", at positions 524 to 776 of the family's 1533-position model. The record is from RNAcentral.
UACGUAGGGGGCUAGCGUUGUCCGGAAUCAUUGGGCGUAAAGCGCGUGUAGGCGGUCCGGUAAGUCCGCUGUGAAAGUCGGGGGCUCAACCCUCGGAUGCCGGUGGAUACUGUCGGGCUUGAGUACGGAAGAGGCGAGUGGAAUUCCUGGUGUAGCGGUGAAAUGCGCAGAUAUCAGGAGGAACACCGGUGGCGAAGGCGGCUCUCUGGGACGGUACUGACGCUGAGACGCGAAAGCGUGGGGAGCGAACAGG